RNAcentral lists this ribosomal RNA (334 nucleotides) under uncultured bacterium. RNAcentral's name for it is "partial 16S ribosomal RNA". It matches the Rfam family "Bacterial small subunit ribosomal RNA", at positions 338 to 669 of the family's 1533-position model. The record is from RNAcentral.
CCUACGGGUGGCUGCAGUGAGGAAUAUUGGUCAAUGGACGAGAGUCUGAACCAGCCAAGUAGCGUGAAGGAUGAAGGCCCUAUGGGUUGUAAACUUCUUGUAUAAGGGAACAAAAUGAGCCACGUGUGGGAUUUUGUAUGUACCAUAUGAAUAAGGAUCGGCUAACUCCGUGCCAGCAGCCGCGGUAAUACGGAGGAUCCGAGCGUUAUCCGGAUUUAUUGGGUUUAAAGGGAGCGUAGGUGGCUUGUUAAGUCAGUUGUGAAAGUUUGCGGCUCAACCGUAAAAUGGCAGUUGAAACUGGCAGUCUUGAGUACAGUAGAGGUAGGCGGAAUUC